UAGGGAAUCUUCGGCAAUGGGGGCAACCCUGACCGAGCAACGCCGCGUGAGUGAAGAAGGUUUUCGGAUCGUAAAGCUCUGUUGUAAGUCAAGAACGAGUGUGAGAGUGGAAAGUUCACACUGUGACGGUAGCUUACCAGAAAGGGACGGCUAACUACGUGCCAGCAGCCGCGGUAAUACGUAGGUCCCGAGCGUUGUCCGGAUUUAUUGGGCGUAAAGCGAGCGCAGGCGGUUUGAUAAGUCUGAAGUUAAAGGCUGUGGCUCAACCAUAGUUCGCUUUGGAAACUGUCAAACUUGAGUGCAGAAGGGGAGAGUGGAAUUCCAUGUGUAGCGGUGAAAUGCGUAGAUAUAUGGAGGAACACCGGUGGCGAAAGCGGCUCUCUGGUCUGUAACUGACGCUGAGGCUCGAAAGCGUGGGGGGCGAACAGGAUUAGAUACCCUGGUAGUCCACGCCGUAAACGAUGAGUGCUAGGUGUUGGAUCCUUUCCGGGAUUCAGUGCCGCAGCUAACGCAUUAAGCACUCCGCCUGGGGAGUACGACCGCAAGGUUG
This 550-nucleotide ribosomal RNA is filed under the name uncultured bacterium. RNAcentral's name for it is "bacterial SSU rRNA". It matches the Rfam family "Bacterial small subunit ribosomal RNA", at positions 355 to 896 of the family's 1533-position model. The record is from RNAcentral.